CCUACGGGGGGCAGCAGUGGGGAAUAUUGGACAAUGGGGGGAACCCUGAUCCAGCCAUGCCGCGUGUGUGAAGAAGGCCUUAUGGUUGUAAAGCACUUUAAGCGAGGAGGAGGCUACUAGUAUUAAUACUACUGGAUAGUGGACGUUACUCGCAGAAUAAGCACCGGCUAACUCUGUGCCAGCAGCCGCGGUAAUACAGAGGGUGCGAGCGUUAAUCGGAUUUACUGGGCGUAAAGCGUGCGUAGGCGGCCAUUUAAGUCAAAUGUGAAAUCCCCGAGCUUAACUUGGGAAUUGCAUUCGAUACUGGAAGGCUAGAGUAUGGGAGAGGAUGGUAGAAUUCCAGGUGUAGCGGUGAAAUGCGUAGAGAUCUGGAGGAAUACCGAUGGCGAAGGCAGCCAUCUGGCCUAAUACUGACGCUGAGGUACGAAAGCAUGGGGAGC
Molecule: ribosomal RNA, 440 nt
Filed under: Acinetobacter venetianus
Lineage: Bacteria; Pseudomonadati; Pseudomonadota; Gammaproteobacteria; Moraxellales; Moraxellaceae
Description: bacterial SSU rRNA
Rfam family: Bacterial small subunit ribosomal RNA
Source: RNAcentral